Long non-coding RNA from Bos taurus (domestic cattle), 1018 nucleotides. Lineage: Eukaryota; Metazoa; Chordata; Mammalia; Artiodactyla; Bovidae. The record is from Ensembl.
GUGUGUGCACGUGCUGCUGGUCUUGUGGGACCACACAGCCUCUCAGAGGAGCUGCCAUCCAGUGGCCGAGUCAGGGCAGCUGCAGCCAGCAGGAGGAGCUGAUGGGCAUCAUUGCUGCCCAAGGCCUCCAGGGCCACUUAAUCCUACAACCCCCGAGCCUUCGAGCUGGGUUGGUUAACCUUGCUUUGAAGAAAAUGCAUUAUAUCUCAGGCCUGGGGUCAGGAGGCUACUGGGAGAAGACCCUGGUCUCUGAGCCACCUGAAGGUGCCCUUUGCCCAGAUGGGGUAGGAGAGACGUUCCCAGUGGUCCUGCAUCAGGGCCCAGGCUCCCCUCCCAGAGCGUGUGACCAGCAAGGGGCCCCUACUCACCUGCUCUUCUGCCUGCUGCUGCCACACGCCCGAUGCUCCAGCCAUGUGAGAUUCCAUGCUGUUCACUGUGCUCGAGUUCUCCCUGCAUCUUUCCAUCUUUCCCUCUCUUUGGAAAUAAACUCUAUCCUUCCCGGCCUGGAGAGAAAGCCUUCCACUUCAAGUCCUAGCUUAGACGUCAUCUCCUCCAGGAGGCCCUCUCUAGGUGUCUUGGUGGAUUUAAACCUCCCAUCGUUCUCCUGUCUGUCGUCUGAGAAAGGACUGGCAGAGUACUGGCGGUCUGUGUGUCUCCUGGAGGCCUCUGUUGUGGGGCCAGGGAGGUGGCAGGCACUUUGCCAGCGUGUCUUGCUCUGUCUCCACUUCCCAACUGGCUUCUGUGUGGAUGGCUCCUGCCCGCCGCCCUCUGUGACUGCUCAUUUGUCCUUUGAUGGUCAAGGCUGAGAGAAAGUCCCCCUUGGGCUCUUCCGUUCCAGCUUCAGGUCUGCAGUACCCACAAUCCCCCAGGUGGUGGCCAGUCCAGUGGGAACCGAAGGGCACUCGUCCUGGCUGCUCAGGGUGGCCUCCAUUGCUCACACAGGUUCUGAGUAGGAGUCCUGGUGGUCCCACCAGGACAAGGGUCAUGGAAAGCACACAAGCAGUGAGUGUAGUCUAUC